GAUGAACGCUGGCGGCAUGCCUAACACAUGCAAGUCGAACGGGGUUAUAUAGACGGAAGUUUUCGGAUGGAAGGAAAUAUAACUUAGUGGCGGACGGGUGAGUAACGCGUGAGCAACCUACCUUUCAGUGGGGGACAACAGUUGGAAACGACUGCUAAUACCGCAUGAUAUACAGAGGUCACAUGGCUUUUGUAUCAAAGAUUUAUCGCUGAAAGAUGGGCUCGCGUCUGAUUAGCUAGUUGGUGAGGUAACGGCUCACCAAGGCGACGAUCAGUAGCCGGACUGAGAGGUUGAACGGCCACAUUGGGACUGAGAUACGGCCCAGACUCCUACGGGAGGCAGCAGUGAGGAAUAUUGGGCAAUGGGCGAAAGCCUGACCCAGCAAUGCCGCGUGAAGGAAGAAGGUUUUCGGAUUGUAAACUUCUUUUCUGAAGGAAGAUUGUGACGGUACUUCAGGAAUAAGCCACGGCUAACUACGUGCCAGCAGCCGCGGUAAUACGUAGGUGGCAAGCGUUAUCCGGAUUUACUGGGUGUAAAGGGCGAGUAGGCGGGAUGGAAAGUCAGGUGUGAAAACUAUGGGCUCAACCCAUAGACUGCACUUGAAACUUCUAUUCUUGAGUGAUGGAGAGGCAGGCGGAAUUCCCGGUGUAACGGUGGAAUGUGUAGAUAUCGGGAGGAACACCAGUGGCGAAGGCGGCCUGCUGGACAUUAACUGACGCUGAGGAGCGAAAGCGUGGGGAGCAAACAGGAUUAGAUACCCUGGUAGUCCACGCUGUAAACGAUGGAUACUAGGUGUGGGGGGUAUUGACCCCUCCCGUGCCGGAGUUAACACAAUAAGUAUCCCACCUGGGGAGUACGGCCGCAAGGUUG
Molecule: ribosomal RNA, 870 nt
Filed under: uncultured bacterium
Lineage: Bacteria
Description: bacterial SSU rRNA
Rfam family: Bacterial small subunit ribosomal RNA
Source: RNAcentral